Molecule: long non-coding RNA, 1119 nt
Filed under: Camarhynchus parvulus
Lineage: Eukaryota; Metazoa; Chordata; Aves; Passeriformes; Thraupidae
Description: lncRNA (ENSCPVG00000017946.1)
Source: RNAcentral
UUGCUUUUUCUAAUGCUGGCUUACAGAAUUCUGCUCAGCUGUGGGUGCUUGAGGUUUUUGUGUUGAUGAUCAUAGAUUGAUUCAUUCAUUCUGGGCCAUUUUCAAGGCUGUGCCUCUCUAUCAAAACUGUCAAAUAUAUUUGUGUCUUGAGGGAUCUCCAUCACUCUGAGAGCUUUUUCUUUUUUUUUUUUCUUUAUUCAAGCAGAAUAUCUGAAAGGGAAAAGGAUGUUGAAAGCUGAGAAAGAAAAUAAAAGAUUUAAAAAGAAGCAGCAUACCCACAGGCUAUCUCUGACUAAUAAGAAUUCAAGCAGCUGUGCUUUUUUUCAACUUGAAAACUGGAGCUUUUAGGUUGGACUUGAUGAUCUCAGAGGUCUUUUCCAAUGUAAGUGAUUUUGUGGUUUUCUGAUAACUGUAACAUUCACUUGGAAUGGGAGUUCAGUCUGACAAAUGUUUUAUUCCUUAUUUUCCUUCAGCUUCUAUCUCUUCAAAAGUGUUGAUACGGAGCCACAGCAUUUGGGGUUAAUGAUAGAUGAUGUGUUUAAGUGUCUCUGAAAAAGAAAUUCACAGAAAACAUCUGAAGAGCUGUGCUUCUUCAGGAGUAUAUAUAAAUAAGGAACAACUCCAUCUCCACCCAAAGACAGCAACUAGUGUUAUGAAUUGAAGAAGAUCUGGGCCUUUAAGAAGAGCAUCUCACUCAUGAAGGCCUGAAAACCCAGUAUAUUGGCAGCAGAUGGGAGAUAAAACAAUUCUUGCCAAUUACUUGUGCUACACCACGCUGGGAGAGAUGCUGUUAUGUAAGUGUCUCAAACUGGGGAGGUCACAUGAAUAAGAACAGAGUCAUCCAUGAUGCUUUCAGCUUCUUGAAACAAAGGACUUGAAUUAAGAUUGCUCUAGCACUUCCCUCCUUCCUCCCUUUCCUUUUUUGUGCCAAGCUUCAUUAGCUCUGUGGUUUUGUUUCAUUUGGUUUUAAUGCUUAUAUAGAACCAGAAACAUUUUCAGACUUUUCAUGAAAAAUGUGCAAGAAAUACUGACAAUGCAGAGAAACUCUUUUAGUCAGUGCAGAAUUGCCAGAACUUGCCAAGAAUAGUGAUGUCUUGUGGAAAAGUUUGUCUCUUAAUU